Molecule: unclassified non-coding RNA, 2779 nt
Filed under: Aphidius gifuensis
Lineage: Eukaryota; Metazoa; Arthropoda; Insecta; Hymenoptera; Braconidae
Description: g-box-binding factor, transcript variant X2
Source: RNAcentral
GUGAGAAAGGUUUAGUCGACCCAACCACCCACUGGGGCCACCCGGGCCACCCCGCCUACCCACCCACUUGCCACCCGACUGCCGUCGAGGAAACAACCUGCAACCUCCUCGCCGCCACUGCCGCACACCAAAGCCGGCAUUAAAUUCAGUUCGUUCAUCACAUUAUUUAAUUUUUUUUUUCAUUUUUAUUUUUUAUUGUUUUUCUUUAAUUUGUGAAAAUAUAUAUUAAUAUUAUUAUUUAUUAUUAUUAUUUUCUUUUUGUUAUUAAAAUAUUGAAUUAAUUAUUAUUUUUUUCGUGUUGUUUAUAUACAUAUAUAUAAUAAAUAAUAAUAAUGAUUAAAGUGCGUGAGUGUAUGUGUAUGUGUGUAUUGUGAUUCAACUGUUUUUAAAUUAUAUUUUCCAAGAAAUAUUAUAAGUAUAUAUUUAUAUUUCAUUAAAUGAUUAAAAUUUAAUUUUUUAAUUACAUAAAUAAAUAUUUAUAAAAAUAAUAUAAUACACAUUUAUCACUAUUGAUUUGUGAAUAUUUAAACAGUUUAAUGUGAUUAAUAAUUUCAUCAUUACAAAAAAAAAGGAUUAUAAUAACAAUAAUAGUAAUAGCUAUUAUUAUUUUAAACAAAAAAAGAAAAAAAGACAUUCAACAAAAAAAAAGGUAGUCAAGAGAAACUUACCCAAGGGGGUAUAGUGUAAGCUUGGUGCCAGAUCACCGGGUGCUUGUAGAUUUAACUAUUUAAUAUAAUACCUUGAAGAAAUAUAAAAUAUAUUAAUAUAAAGAAAAAAAAAAUAAAUAAAAGAAUCAUGGAAAGCGGAACAACUGGUAUUGGCAGACUUGACUGCUAUGAAGAUAUGUUUAAAGAAAUAACACGUAAAUUAUACGGUGACGAUCCUGAUCAUCGAACAUCCAGUGUUCAGAACGAAUUUGAAACAUCAGUAUCAUAUAAAAACGACGAAGAUACAGAAAACAAUACUGAUUCUGACGAUGGUAAUUGGACAUGUGAAGAUGAGCCAUUAAAAGGAACAGACGGCAGUAGAAUUGCAGCUUAUCAUGCUGGUAAAACUACCUGGAAAUGUUACGAGUGUGGUGAUUGUAUGAAUGGUGGACCUCGUGAAAUUGCUGAACAUUUUAUGGAUCUUCAUGCAUCUCGUAUAAUACUUGAUGAUACACGUAAUCGUCAUCAUAUACCAAGAAAAGAUUAUCUACAAGGUGAUUUAAAACUUGAGGAUAUACUUAAUUAUCUUGAAAGAGUUAGAGAUAGAGCUGAAAGAUCAGCACCACCAUCAAGACGUACACAAGAAACACAAACAAUACCAGCUGCAUUAUUACCACCACCAACUACAACCAGCACAUUUUUAUUACAAGAAUUACCAACAACACCACCACCACAACAACAACAACAACAUCAACAUCAACAACAACAUCAACAGCAACAACAUCAACAACAACAACAGCAUAAUUUACAUACAAAUUCACCAACAAUGACACCAUUAUCAACAACAACACCACCAACAACAGCAACAUCAUCAUCUUCAUCAUCUUCAUCCUCGUCAUCAUCAAGUAAUAAACGUUAUACAUGUCCAUAUUGUCCAUAUGGCACUGAUCGUCGUGAUUUAUAUACAAGACAUGAAAAUAUACAUCGUGAAGAAAAACCAUUUCAUUGUUAUGUUUGUUAUAAACCAUUUAAUCGUGCUGAUCAUGUUAAAAAACAUUUUUUACGUAUGCAUCGUGAACACACAUAUGAAUUAUCAAGAAUACGACGUAAUCCAUCAACAAAUAAUAAUAAUAGUACCAUCAAAACAAAUCAACAACAACAACAAGAUACAAAUACAGGAAUAAAUAAUAAUGGAUCAGUACAACAACAACAACAACAAAAUACCUAUACAACAAAUUAUAAUAACAAUAACAACAACAACAACAAUAAUAUAAAUAAUAAUAAAAAUUAUCAAUUACAAACAACACAACCAAGUGUUACAACAGCAACAGCAGCAUCAAAUAUAUAUCAGCAAACAGCAGCAAUGACAUCUGUUAUUGGUAAUAUUCAAGAUAAUAAUAUUGUUAAUAGAAGAAUGACAAAUACUGGAUGUAAAAGUCAAAAUAAAAAUGGAUCAAAAGGAGCACAAGAAAAAAGAUACACCUGUUGUUAUUGUUCAUGGAGUGGUGUUGAUAAUUGGUGUUUAAAACGUCAUUUAAAUACACAUUUAAAACCAUUUGCUUGUGCAUUAUGUGAAUAUAAAGCAGCUCGUGCUGAACGUUUAGCAACACAUGUAUUAAAAGUACAUAAUAAACGACAAUGUUCAAGAUGUUCAUUUUUAGGUGAAGAUGCAUCACAAUUACAGAUACAUCAAUUACAUGUACAUCGUAUUAAUAAUAGUAAUACUGUCAAUACAAUACCAGCAGCAUCAUCAUCACCAACAUCAUCAUCUUCAUCAUCAACACCAUCAUCACAAGUAUCAACAAUUAAUCGUCAUGAACCAGUACAUCCUGUUGGAGUUGGUCGUCCACCACCUGGACCACCAGUUUUUCCAGCACCAUCUGGAGCUGUUAUUUCACCACCAACAACAACAACAAUUCUCAGUGCCGCGGUGGUUGCUGCCACAAGAUGGUAAAAUUAAUUAGCUGGAUUUGGUUAAUAAUCAACGUACACGGAAUGAGAAUAAUCAAACACCAUUCAGUGAUUGUCAAUCAAAUAGACGAAGUAGAUCAAGAAAACAACACGAGCCAAGAAAAGUAUUGAGUCAACGUAGAUCAGCAAAUGAAAAUAUGAUUGAUGAUAAUGAAGAUAAU